AAAGCGGGCGCGAAAGCGCGAUCGUGGAACGAUGAAGCCCAACUUGCUGGGUGGAUUAGUGGCGAACGGGUGAGUAACACGUGAGUAACCUGCCCUUAACUCUGGGAUAAGCCUGGGAAACUGGGUCUAAUACCGGAUAGGAGCGCCUACCGCAUGGUGGGUGUUGGAAAGAUUUAUCGGUUUUGGAUGGACUCGCGGCCUAUCAGCUUGUUGGUGAGGUAAUGGCUCACCAAGGCGACGACGGGUAGCCGGCCUGAGAGGGUGACCGGCCACACUGGGACUGAGACACGGCCCAGACUCCUACGGGAGGCAGCAGUGGGGAAUAUUGCACAAUGGGCGCAAGCCUGAUGCAGCGACGCCGCGUGAGGGAUGACGGCCUU
RNAcentral lists this ribosomal RNA (380 nucleotides) under Micrococcus luteus. RNAcentral's name for it is "bacterial SSU rRNA". It matches the Rfam family "Bacterial small subunit ribosomal RNA", at positions 39 to 418 of the family's 1533-position model. Lineage: Bacteria; Bacillati; Actinomycetota; Actinomycetes; Micrococcales; Micrococcaceae. The record is from RNAcentral.